Molecule: non-coding RNA, 75 nt
Organism: Macrobrachium nipponense
Lineage: Eukaryota; Metazoa; Arthropoda; Malacostraca; Decapoda; Palaemonidae
Source: the annotation of a RefSeq genome assembly
GGCCUGUUGGUCUAGGGGUAUGAUUCCUGCUUUGGGUGCAGGAGGUCCCGGGAAAUUCAAAUCCCGGACAGGCCC